This 69-nucleotide transfer RNA is filed under the name Marmota monax (woodchuck). RNAcentral describes it as "tRNA.Ala". The record is from RNAcentral. Lineage: Eukaryota; Metazoa; Chordata; Mammalia; Rodentia; Sciuridae.
GGAUAUAGCUCAGUGGUAAAGUGCUAGCCUAGCAUGUGUGAGGACCUGGGUUCCAUCCCCAGUACUGCA